CCCUGGUUGGCUCAGAUGGUAAAGAAUCUGCCUGCAAUGCAGAAGGCCCGGGUUCUAUUCCUGGAUUGGGAA
Molecule: transfer RNA, 72 nt
Filed under: Bos taurus (domestic cattle)
Lineage: Eukaryota; Metazoa; Chordata; Mammalia; Artiodactyla; Bovidae
Also listed under: 4 other names
Rfam family: tRNA
About the family: Transfer RNA (tRNA) molecules are approximately 80 nucleotides in length. Their secondary structure includes four short double-helical elements and three loops (D, anti-codon, and T loops).
Source: Rfam by way of RNAcentral